Long non-coding RNA from Sciurus carolinensis (gray squirrel), 3684 nucleotides. RefSeq lists it as uncharacterized. The transcript is spliced from 5 exons. The record is from RefSeq and is a predicted model, not a curated record. NCBI's taxonomy places the organism in Eukaryota, Metazoa, Chordata, Mammalia, Rodentia, Sciuridae.
GGCUCCCAGCACGCACCUGCAGGACCGGCUGCAGCGAGGCGAGGGCGCUGUUGCCCGCGCCCCAGUCGUCGCAGUUGCGGUACACGCCCUUCUCCAGGACGUACUGCUCCCCGGAGAAGCCCACCUGCUCAUAGGCCACCCACCUGCAGGAAAGACGGGGCCGGGUCAGCAGAGGAGGAGCCGCUACCUUUCCCGGAACCGCCGCCCGGCUCCAGAACCAGGAGCACUCACACGCCGCUGAGCACGUGGAUGGCCUGGGUGCGCGGACCGUGUCGCACUAGCUCCACAUCUGGCAAUGCCGCGCUCACCUCCACGCCAGGCCCCUCGAAGUCCAUGGCCUCAAACAGCACCACGGCCGGGUCCCCGAAGUCCUAGGCCCCAGGGACAGUCAGGUCGCUCCUGCCCAGGCAGGUACUGGUGGCCCCGGAAGCCCUCCUUCUCAUAGCCCACCCAGCUGGAAGCAGGGGGAGGAUGGAUAGACAGACUCAGUGGCAGGAAGCCAGUGGAUGGUGCACAGCCAGCCCCCGCUGGGCGCUGCCCACUCACCAGCCUCGCACCACCCUGAUGGAGGCAGCGGCCCAGCCUGAGGCAUCAGCAGCGUCUUCCCAGACCUCCCUGCGGCUGCCCUGGCAGCCAGGCUCUGAGAAGACGAUCACCUGAGAAGGACAGCAGAAGUCAGGCCCUGUGCCCGGCCUGGUCUCCACCACCCCACCCACUUGCCUCACAUCCUACCUUCCCAGGUCUGGUGUUCAGCUUGCCCUGGGUCUUCAGCGCUGGGCUCUGGAACAGAGUGAGCAGUGAGAAGUCUUACGGGUCACCUGUCUCCCCGCAGCUCGCCAUUCCAAGGGUCCCAUGUCCUCCCUAUUGUCCUCUACCCUCAAGGAAAUGGCCCACAGAGGAUGAGGAUGCCACCCUUGUUUCCAACACCAGGGCUUCAUCUCCCUGCCCGUCACUCCCCUCCCCAGGCUUACAGGAUAUGAAAGCCACCAAGCCCUUGGGAAUCCGUAGUACAAACCUGCUGUACAGAUAGGAGACUAAGGUCCAGCUUAGUCUCCACCUUAGACCAAGCCUCCCGCCUCCAGGGACUCUGACCCCCUGAACCACCUCUCCUCCCAAACUUUGACCCAAAAGAGGCCAGGCACCUCCCUCACCCUCCCAAGACUUCACUCACCCACCCCUCCGGGGGCUGGGCACAUGCAGGCUUCUCUGGCGGUGGCCUUCUGCUACAGAGCAGGGGCAACUGUCCUGGCACCUUCCUGAGCCCCGGUGCCCCAUGGGGUGGCAGAGCUGAUAGUUUUUUGCCCAGGGGUUCCAGAGCGGGGGCCUCCUUGGUGGCAGGCACCAGACUGCCAAAGAGAAGGCUGCCUCCAAGUCGGGAGGUGGGCCGGUUGCUGGCCAGCAUUUCCGCCCCUGGCUGCAGGUGGGGGCUCUUGGCACCUGUUACAUGCUUCUUCAACAUCUCCAGAGGAGAGCAAGAGGCCGGGGUGGGCCUGGCAGGGGGCGGGUCCCAGGAGGGGCUGGGCCCCACCUUUUCCUGUCUGCGCUGGAGCUUCUCGUCGUCGCUCAGGUAGGGGUUCUCUGGUUCUUCUUCCUCCUCCUCUUCCAGGGGAGGCACCUCCUGGGGGCUGGGCCCCAGUACACAUGGCCCCGGCUGGUCCUCCUCGAUGGCAGGUAGCGUGGCAUACAUGGCCAGGUAGGAGGAGCGGGGGGCUCGGGGCAGCCGGUGAGUGCGGAGGAUCUCGGGGGGCUCCAUGCUCCGUAGCGUAUCCAGGAAAAUCUCCAGGUCAGCAGCCAGGGCCACCUCAUCCUCCUCUCUCAGUGGUUCUGGGGGUGUUUUGCCUUUGGCGGAGUCAGGGACAAGCUGGGACUCCAUGCUGGCCUCUGUUUCCUUUGCUACUGGGACAGGAGUGCCUUCUGAGCUGGGGGGCACCUUGUCCAUUGGGGAGGAUGGGGCAAGGGGGACAGCAGGGCUCUGGAUGGCCUCUCUUUGGGUGGGAGAUGAGGUGGGGCUCCUCUUGGAACCCUGGACAGCCUUACCCUGUUCGGGGAGCAGGGCAGCAGGAACAGUUGGGCCCUGAAUGGCCUUGUCUCGGGUGAGGGAAGGGGAAGGGCUGCCUUCAGCACUCUGAACAACUCCCUCGUGGGUGCUCGAGGCUCCUUCUGGGCCCUGGACAACUUUGGUUGGCUUGGGGGAGGAGGAAGGAGCACCAGGGCCCCCAACUGCCUCUUUCUGGGUUGGGGAUGGGGCAGCAGGAACACCUGGGCCCUGAACUGCCUCUUUUGGGGGAAGGGAGACGGGCACAUUUUCAGAGUCCUGAGCAAACUUAUUCCUUGGCGACGAUGGAGCAGAAGGACCUUCCGGGCUGGGGACAGCCUUCCUGCUUUCAGAGGACGGAGCCAGAGGUUGUUCCAGCAGGACGGGGGCAGCAGGGCACUCAGCAAGCCCUUCCCUCUUAACAGCAGGGGGUGGUGUGUACUUCCUGGAAAAGACGGGCCCAUGGCUCUGGAAGUUCCCGGAGCCAGCCUCACCCCGAGGGCCCUGGGAGUUCACAGUCUCUUCUUCCCGUGUAGCAAAGCCGUUGAGGUCCCCUCUGUAGUGAUUGUGCUCGAACCUCUCCUGGGGGGCUUCCAUCCGGGGCCCUGACACCAGCGACACCUUGUGAAAACGGUGUCUGGUCUCUUCCUGGGCGGGAGGCCGCUGCCGCCAUGUCAGUGUGGCACUUACGACUCGGGCCUCCGCCCGGGCUGGGGGCCCAGCUGCCUCCUCCAUGUUGGGCCCCAGCAACCUGUCCAGAGGUGUCCUUGUGUCACUGUGGUCCAGCUCCCUGCAGAUGGUGCCAGGAAGAAGAAGAGAGAUGAGCGUCAGAGAGGGCAUCACGGUCCCCAACACAGAACAAGAGUUCGAAGACUGUGUGCUUCAGGGCCUUGUCAGGAUAUGAGCAGGAGAGAGAGAUGAAGACGUGCCUUGUAAACUAAAGCUUGACUCGUGAACUUCCCGGCGUCACUUUGGAGAUUUGUGACCAGACCUUAGCGGGGGUGCAAUACAUGAGUGCGCCAGCAGGAGCACGCACGACCGUGGUCAGACCUGGGGGCAGGUUUGUGUGCGUCUUGGGUCCUGAUGGCCCCCUGGGACACUGCGCUUUAUGAAGUACUUCCCCCUCAGCUCUCUCCUGUGAAGUUAAUCCCCCCGGGGUCAGAGAAGAGGAGGACUGGUCCAGGGGUGCAGCAGGAAGUCGCCAGGCUUGGGUCUGAGUCGCAUCUUCAGACUCCAAGCCCCGCAACCCUCUUCCACGUUCUAGGCCCAUUACUCCCAAGAGCCUCUUCCUGAAGGGAUGGACCUGGGCCUUACUUUUUUUAUGACCCUGAUCUCUGUGGGUCUCCAUAACCUCCCAGAGAACUCUGAUGAAUUUCUCUGCUUUAACAGUAACAGCAGCAGCCUCCUGUUAAGGGCUUCCUUUCUGUUUUCAUUAGUUGUCCUAUUGAACCCUCAGAAGAAUCCCAUGAAUCUGAGACCCCAUAAUGAAUACGUUGUUGCUAAAUUAUAAGCAAACAUUCCCAUUUUGCAGAUGAGAUGGUAAAAGGCUCAGAGAGGUUAAGGAACUUGUCUAGAGUCACACAAUAGCAGAGUCAAGACUCAGACCCUGGGCUGGGGUUGUAGCUCAGUGACUGAGCACUUGCCUAGCA